AACCUUUUCUGAAAAAGUAACUUUAUUGAAACCAUGUUAUUUGAUUUUUUUUUGGUAAAAUAGAUCCUCCGGUCUUUCGAAAAAGAGGUUAAAGAAGUGAAAUGUAUAUAGUGCUCUUACUUAUUUGACAUUCGUACGUAUGAUCUAUGCCUGAUGUCACCUUAGAUAACGUGAAGAUUAGGAGCAAUUCAUUACAAAUCGAGAUGGGAUAGGCGGAGGAGCCACAUGGAGCAGUUUUUUUUUUUUGACUCCUUCCGCUACACAAAACAGUUUCAACUCCAAGACUACUCUGGCCUAGCAUCCAUUUUGUACUCAAAUGUUUGGCACAGGUGUAUAGCCAGUGCUAAAGCCUGAGCUCCAGCGAGAGCCAUACCAUACAUGCACUUGGGAUUCCUCUGGAGAGGCUAAUAAAGCGCGACUAGUCGCAUUGAACCUAGCUCACCUCGCACGUCUUUCUCCUCACGUCACUCCACCUCCUCCCAUGCCGUCCCCAACCAGUGGCGGCCACACACUGCCGCGGUGCCGCCCGCCACUCGAGCGAGCCUCCGCCGUGCUCACCCCAUGACCUCACCCACCCUAAUCCGAGGGUGCCGAUCGACGAGAGCUCCGCCAGACACCCUUGCCACUAGCCCUGCGCAACCACCGUCCCCGUCCCCGGCCCCGCCUCACGUUUCCUGCAAUUCAGCUUCACCCACGUUUCCUGCUCACGAUUUCAACGUUUUCCAGCGAUGGUGCCAUUGGACAUGUGAUGAUGAUGAUAAUCAGGCACCC
This 771-nucleotide long non-coding RNA is filed under the name Sorghum bicolor (sorghum). Its description in RNAcentral is "long non-coding RNA (SBIC_LNC003909)". Lineage: Eukaryota; Viridiplantae; Streptophyta; Magnoliopsida; Poales; Poaceae. The record is from RNAcentral.